ACGCUGGCGGCAGGCCUAACACAUGCAAGUCGAGCGGAUGAAAGGAGCUUGCUCCUGGAUUCAGCGGCGGACGGGUGAGUAAUGCCUAGGAAUCUGCCUGGUAGUGGGGGACAACGUUUCGAAAGGAACGCUAAUACCGCAUACGUCCUACGGGAGAAAGCAGGGGACCUUCGGGCCUUGCGCUAUCAGAUGAGCCUAGGUCGGAUUAGCUAGUUGGUGAGGUAAUGGCUCACCAAGGCGACGAUCCGUAACUGGUCUGAGAGGAUGAUCAGUCACACUGGAACUGAGACACGGUCCAGACUCCUACGGGAGGCAGCAGUGGGGAAUAUUGGACAAUGGGCGAAAGCCUGAUCCAGCCAUGCCGCGUGUGUGAAGAAGGUCUUCGGAUUGUAAAGCACUUUAAGUUGGGAGGAAGGGCGGUAAAUUAAUACUUUGCUGUUUUGACGUUACCGACAGAAUAAGCACCGGCUAACUCUGUGCCAGCAGCCGCGGUAAUACAGAGGGUGCAAGCGUUAAUCGGAAUUACUGGGCGUAAAGCGCGCGUAGGUGGUUUGUUAAGUUGGAUGUGAAAUCCCCGGGCUCAACCUGGGAACUGCAUCCAAAACUGGCAAGCUAGAGUAUGGUAGAGGGUGGUGGAAUUUCCUGUGUAGCGGUGAAAUGCGUAGAUAUAGGAAGGAACACCAGUGGCGAAGGCGACCACCUGGACUGAUACUGACACUGAGGUGCGAAAGCGUGGGGAGCAAAC
RNAcentral lists this ribosomal RNA (745 nucleotides) under uncultured bacterium. RNAcentral's name for it is "bacterial SSU rRNA". It matches the Rfam family "Bacterial small subunit ribosomal RNA", at positions 33 to 773 of the family's 1533-position model. The record is from RNAcentral.